AGAGUUUGAUCCUGGCUCAGGAUGAACGCUAGCUACAGGCUUAACACAUGCAAGUCGAGGGGCAGCAUGGUCUUAGCUUGCUAAGGCCGAUGGCGACCGGCGCACGGGUGAGUAACACGUAUCCAACCUGCCGUCUACUCUUGGACAGCCUUCUGAAAGGAAGAUUAAUACAAGAUGGCAUCAUGAGUCCGCAUGUUCACAUGAUUAAAGGUAUUCCGGUAGACGAUGGGGAUGCGUUCCAUUAGAUAGUAGGCGGGGUAACGGCCCACCUAGUCUUCGAUGGAUAGGGGUUCUGAGAGGAAGGUCCCCCACAUUGGAACUGAGACACGGUCCAAACUCCUACGGGAGGCAGCAGUGAGGAAUAUUGGUCAAUGGGCGAGAGCCUGAACCAGCCAAGUAGCGUGAAGGAUGACUGCCCUAUGGGUUGUAAACUUCUUUUAUAAAGGAAUAAAGUCGGGUAUGCAUACCCGUUUGCAUGUACUUUAUGAAUAAGGAUCGGCUAACUCCGUGCCAGCAGCCGCGGUAAUACGGAGGAUCCGAGCGUUAUCCGGAUUUAUUGGGUUUAAAGGGAGCGUAGAUGGAUGUUUAAGUCAGUUGUGAAAGUUUGCGGCUCAACCGUAAAAUUGCAGUUGAUACUGGAUAUCUUGAGUGCAGUUGAGGCAGGCGGAAUUCGUGGUGUAGCGGUGAAAUGCUUAGAUAUCACGAAGAACUCCGAUUGCGAAGGCAGCCUGCUAAGCUGCAACUGACAUUGAGGCUCGAAAGUGUGGGUAUCAAACAGGAUUAGAUACCCUGGUAGUCCACACGGUAAACGAUGAAUACUCGCUGUUUGCGAUAUACAGCAAGCGGCCAAGCGAAAGCGUUAAGUAUUCCACCUGGGGAGUACGCCGGCAACGGUGAAACUCAAAGGAAUUGACGGGGGCCCGCACAAGCGGAGGAACAUGUGGUUUAAUUCGAUGAUACGCGAGGAACCUUACCCGGGCUUAAAUUGCAGAUGAAUUACGGUGAAAGCCGUAAGCCGCAAGGCAUCUGUGAAGGUGCUGCAUGGUUGUCGUCAGCUCGUGCCGUGAGGUGUCGGCUUAAGUGCCAUAACGAGCGCAACCCUUGUUGUCAGUUACUAACAUGUCAUGCUGAGGACUCUGACAAGACUGCCAUCGUAAGAUGUGAGGAAGGUGGGGAUGACGUCAAAUCAGCACGGCCCUUACGUCCGGGGCUACACACGUGUUACAAUGGGGGGUACAGAGGGCCGCUACCACGCGAGUGGAUGCCAAUCCCCAAAACCUCUCUCAGUUCGGACUGGAGUCUGCAACCCGACUCCACGAAGCUGGAUUCGCUAGUAAUCGCGCAUCAGCCACGGCGCGGUGAAUACGUUCCCGGGCCUUGUACACACCGCCCGUCAAGCCAUGGGAGCCGGGGGUACCUGAAGUGCGUAACCGCGAGGAGCGCCCUAGGGUAAAACUGGUGACUGGGGCUAAGUCGUAACAAGGUA
This 1486-nucleotide ribosomal RNA is filed under the name metagenome. RNAcentral describes it as "bacterial SSU rRNA". It matches the Rfam family "Bacterial small subunit ribosomal RNA". The record is from RNAcentral.